Molecule: non-coding RNA, 135 nt
Organism: Triticum aestivum (bread wheat)
Lineage: Eukaryota; Viridiplantae; Streptophyta; Magnoliopsida; Poales; Poaceae
Source: Rfam
CUUGUACUCCCUCCGUCCGAAAAUACUUGUCAUCAAAAUGGAUGGAAAGGGAUGUAUCUAGAACUAAAAUACGUCUAGAUACAUCUCUUUUAAUCCAUUUUGAUGACAAGUAUUUCCGGACGGAGGGAGUAUGCA